GCUCCCAUGGCGUUAUAGUGGUCACUGCGCUCGCUUUGCACGCGGGAGACCCGGGUUCGAAUCCCGGCGGGGUCA
Molecule: transfer RNA, 75 nt
Filed under: Diaphorina citri (Asian citrus psyllid)
Lineage: Eukaryota; Metazoa; Arthropoda; Insecta; Hemiptera; Psyllidae
Rfam family: tRNA
About the family: Transfer RNA (tRNA) molecules are approximately 80 nucleotides in length. Their secondary structure includes four short double-helical elements and three loops (D, anti-codon, and T loops).
Source: Rfam by way of RNAcentral